Molecule: ribosomal RNA, 899 nt
Filed under: Colletotrichum lupini
Lineage: Eukaryota; Fungi; Ascomycota; Sordariomycetes; Glomerellales; Glomerellaceae
Description: LSU rRNA
Rfam family: Eukaryotic large subunit ribosomal RNA
Source: RNAcentral
UAAGCAUAUCAAUAAGCGGAGGAAAAGAAACCAACAGGGAUUGCCCCAGUAACGGCGAGUGAAGCGGCAACAGCUCAAAUUUGAAAUCUGGCCCCAGGCCCGAGUUGUAAUUUGCAGAGGAUGCUUUUGGCGCGGUGCCUUCCGAGUUCCCUGGAACGGGACGCCAUAGAGGGUGAGAGCCCCGUACGGUUGGACACCAAGCCUUUGUAAAGCUCCUUCGACGAGUCGAGUAGUUUGGGAAUGCUGCUCUAAAUGGGAGGUACAUUUCUUCUAAAGCUAAAUAUUGGCCAGAGACCGAUAGCGCACAAGUAGAGUGAUCGAAAGAUGAAAAGCACUUUGGAAAGAGGGUUAAACAGCACGUGAAAUUGUUAAAAGGGAAGCGCUUGUGACCAGACUUGCGUCCGGUGAAUCACCCAGCUCUCGCGGCUGGGGCACUUCGCCGGCACAGGCCAGCAUCAGCUUGCCGUCGGGGACAAAAGCUUCAGGAACGUGGCUCCUCUCGGGGAGUGUUAUAGCCUGUUGCAUAAUACCCUUCGGCGGGCUGAGGUACGCGCUCCGCAAGGAUGCUGGCGUAAUGGUCAUCAGCGACCCGUCUUGAAACACGGACCAAGGAGUCAACCUUAUGUGCGAGUGUUUGGGUGUUAAACCCCUACGCGUAAUGAAAGUGAACGCAGGUGAGAGCUUCGGCGCAUCAUCGACCGAUCCUGAUGUUCUCGGAUGGAUUUGAGUAAGAGCAUAUAGGGUUGGACCCGAAAGAAGGUGAACUAUGCGUGUGUAGGGUGAAGCCAGAGGAAACUCUGGUGGAGGCUCGCAGCGGUUCUGACGUGCAAAUCGAUCGUCAAACAUGCGCAGGGGGGCAAAAGACUAAUCGAACCUUCUAGUAGCUGGUUUCCGCCGAA